CACCGGCGGCUCGAGUGGUGGGCACUUUUAUUGGGUCUAAAGCGUCCGUAGCCGGCUUGGCAAGUCCCCUGGGAAAUCUGGCGGCUUAACCGUCAGGCGUCCAGAGGAUACUGCCAGGCUUGGGACCGGGAGAGGUGAGAGGUACCUCAGGGGUAGGGGUGAAAUCUUGUGAUCCCUGAGGGACCACCAGUGGCGAAGGCGUCUCACUAGAACGGGUCCGACGGUCAGGGACGAAAGCUGGGGGCACGAACCGG
Molecule: ribosomal RNA, 254 nt
Filed under: uncultured microorganism
Description: partial 16S ribosomal RNA
Rfam family: Archaeal small subunit ribosomal RNA
Source: RNAcentral